This is an RNA transcript of Beta vulgaris subsp. vulgaris (sugar beet), 2067 nucleotides long. It is a transcript of the gene named scopoletin glucosyltransferase, with no coding region annotated. The transcript has a single exon. The record is from RefSeq and is a predicted model, not a curated record. NCBI's taxonomy places the organism in Eukaryota, Viridiplantae, Streptophyta, Magnoliopsida, Caryophyllales, Amaranthaceae.
UCUUGUCGCCACGAGACGCCACCGCCGGCAGUAAGAAGCAGAACUCACUGUAAGUGUAAGUCUGUAACUCCUUACUCCCGUCGCCACUUUCUGUUUUUUUUUUUUUUAAUUUUUUUAUAAUUUCUGCUAAUUUAUAAAGGAUAGGUUACUUGAAUUGAACUUAGAGAUUUAAAUGUUGAAUUGAAAUUAGAGAUUACUAAUUACUAAUUACUUCAUUACUUGAAUAGUUGAAUUGAAAUUACUUGAAUUGAAAUUAGAGAUUACUUCAUUACUUGAAUUGAAAUUGAGAUUACUUGAAUUGAAAGUAGAGAUUGUAAAAUUGAAAUAGAGGUUGUGAAUUGAAAUUAGUUGAAUUUGGAAUUAAAUGUUGUGAAAUGUAAUUUGAAACAAGAAACUUAACUCAAGUAUUGUAUUUUGUUUUAUUUGAAUUUUUCUCAUCCGUACAGUAAUACGCCACUGCAGAGUCUCAAUACUAACCAAAGAUCAAAAUGAGUGCUGAACCUCAAGAGUUCCAUGUAGUUCUGUUCCCAUUCAUGGCACAUGGCCAUAUGAUUCCAAUGCUCGAUAUAGCGAGGCUCUUUGCAGCUCGCGACAAUGUAAAAGCAACCAUUAUCACCACGCAGCUCAACAUCGCCACCUUCAAUAAAGCCAUUGAAAUUAACAAGACAACCAGAACCCCAAUCUUUAACAUUGAGGUGUUCAAGUUUCCUGCACAAGAAAUUGGCUUGCCAGAAGGUUUUGAUAACCUGGAGCAAGUAUUAAGACCUGAGUUUUUCGACAAGUUCUUCGAAGCUACUGAGUUGCUAAACGAGCAGCUUGAGAAGUAUUUAGAGAAGGUCCGACCUAACUGCCUUGUUGCUGACAUGUUCUUUCCAUGGGUGACUGACUCGGCAGCCAAGUUUAACAUCCCUAGGCUAGUUUUCAUGGAAUCAGCACCUUUGCCCUUUGUGCUCAAGAAAUUAUUAGGCUGUAUGAGCCCUUUAACAAUGUCUCCUCUGAUGAAGAGCCUUUUGUUCUUCCUCUUCUCCCCCAUGAGAUACAAUUGAGAAGAUUGCAGAUCUCCGAGGAAAUAAGGGAAAAUGAGGAGACAGACUACAAAAGGACGACAGCAAAUAUCAAGGAAUCAGAGCUUAAGAGUUAUGGAGUGAUUAUAAACAGCUUUUAUGAGUUGGAACCAGAUUAUGCAAAGUUUUAUAGGAAAGAAUUGGGAAUGAGGUCAUGGAACGUAGGUCCAGUUUCACUGAGCAACAGAAGCAUAGAGGAUAAGAAUCAGGGAGACAAACAGGCUUUGAUAGAUGAGCACGAGUGCUUGGAAUGGCUGGACUCAAAGAAGCCUGAUUCUGUUACUUACAUCUGUUUUGGCAGUACAACAAGCUUCAUAGCUCCUCAACUGCAUGAGAUUGCAAUGGCUCUAGAAGCAUCAGGAGAAGACUUCAUCUGGGUAGUAAAAGGUGAAGAGUGGCUGCCAACAGGAUUCAAGCAACGGAUGGAAGGGAAAGGCUUCAUAAUAACAGGAUGGGCUCCCCAGGUAUUGAUCUUAGAGCAUGAAGCUAUACGAGCAUUCAUGACACACUGUGGAUGGAAUUCGAUAUUAGAAGGGAUCUCAGCUGGUGUACCGAUGGUUACGUGGCCUAUUUUCGCUGAACAAUUUUAUAACGAAAAGUUGGUCAAUCAGAUUCUGAAGACUGGUGUUCCUGUAGGAGCUAAGAAGUGGAGUAGGACACCUUCAUUAGAGGAUCUCAUUAAGUGCGAUGCUAUAGAGAAAGCGCUAAGAGAAGUUAUGGUGGGAAAAGAGGCGGAGGAGAGAAGAAAAAGAGCAAAAAAGUUGAAGAAAAAGGCAUAUAUGGCUGUAGAAGAAGGUGGCUCAUCAUAUUCCGACCUAACUGCAUUGAUAAAUGAGUUAAGGGGCUAUCGUCUCCAAGAGCAAGAGUAGCCUUUAAAAAUAAUUAAAGUUCAAUUCUUAUCCUCCAUUAAAGUCCUCCAUAAUUCUACCUCCCCUGUAAUUUGUCCUCUUUUAUUUGUUGGAUCGUUCAAAAUAUGAAAUAAAAAGGCAGACAAAAACAUGGA